CGGAGGAUCCAAGCGUUAUCCGGAAUCAUUGGGUUUAAAGGGUCCGUAGGCGGGUUUAUAAGUCAGUGGUGAAAGCCCAUCGCUCAACGAUGGAACGGCCAUUGAUACUGUAGAUCUUGAAUUAUUAGGAAGUAACUAGAAUAUGUAGUGUAGCGGUGAAAUGCUUAGAGAUUACAUGGAAUACCAAUUGCGAAGGCAGGUUACUACUAAUGGAUUGACGCUGAUGGACGAAAGCGUGGGUAGCGAACAGGAUUAGAUACCCUGGUAGUCCACGCCGUAAACGAUGGAUACUAGCUGUUCGGAGCAAUCUGAGUGGCUAAGCGAAAGUGAUAAGUAUCCCACCUGGGGAUACGUUCGCAAGAAUG
This 365-nucleotide ribosomal RNA is filed under the name uncultured organism. Its description in RNAcentral is "bacterial SSU rRNA". It matches the Rfam family "Bacterial small subunit ribosomal RNA", at positions 526 to 896 of the family's 1533-position model. The record is from RNAcentral.